AGUGAACGCUGGCGGUAGGCCUAACACAUGCAAGUCGAACGGCAGCACAGUAAGAGCUUGCUCUUACGGGUGGCGAGUGGCGGACGGGUGAGGAAUACAUCGGAAUCUACUUUUUCGUGGGGGAUAACGUAGGGAAACUUACGCUAAUACCGCAUACGACCUACGGGUGAAAGCAGGGGAUCUUCGGACCUUGCGCGAUUGAAUGAGCCGAUGUCGGAUUAGCUAGUUGGCGGGGUAAAGGCCCACCAAGGCGACGAUCCGUAGCUGGUCUGAGAGGAUGAUCAGCCACACUGGAACUGAGACACGGUCCAGACUCCUACGGGGGGCGGCAGUGGGGAAUAUUGGACAAUGGGCGCAAGCCUGAUCCAGCCAUACCGCGUGGGUGAAGAAGGCCUUCGGGUUGUAAAGCCCUUUUGUUGGGAAAGAAAAGCAGCAGGUUAAUACCCCGCUGUUCUGACGGUACCCAAAGAAUAAGCACCGGCUAACUUCGUG
RNAcentral lists this ribosomal RNA (492 nucleotides) under uncultured bacterium. RNAcentral's name for it is "partial 16S ribosomal RNA". It matches the Rfam family "Bacterial small subunit ribosomal RNA", at positions 29 to 507 of the family's 1533-position model. The record is from RNAcentral.